Sapajus apella (tufted capuchin) is the source of this 2420-nucleotide long non-coding RNA. RefSeq lists it as uncharacterized. The record is from RefSeq and is a predicted model, not a curated record. The transcript has 3 exons. NCBI's taxonomy places the organism in Eukaryota, Metazoa, Chordata, Mammalia, Primates, Cebidae.
UUACUGAAGUACUGAAAUAAUUACCAUUUUAAUUCAGUGCCUGGAGUAUAGUAAACGUUCAAUAAAUGUUUGCUGAAUAAAUACCUGGCUUUUUAAUAUUGUUUUGCCAUUUAUAAUUUCUCUGGUUCCUUAGGACAAUCCUGAGAGGUAAGAAUAUUAUUCUUCCCAUUUUCAUUUCCUGCAGAGGUCAUGCCCCUAGGAGCAGCAGAAUUGGAGCUUCGGUUCACACGCUUGAUUCACUAUUUCUCCCUCUUGGAUCUUGUCUUCCCAAAACCUUGCAGGGUCAUGUGGGAAAGACAAUACAUCUUCUUAUGCCGAGGAUGGAGCAGAAGGCUGGGAGGAGGGAAGAGCCAGGAGAACACAAAGCAGAGAUGAGCCAGGUGGACUCUGCCUGAGGCCACGCUGCAGAGACCUCUUUGGGUGAAGGACACCAACAGAUACAACAGGUGGUGAAGAAGACAAAAAUUUAAAGAGAUGAUGAUAGAAAACAGGAAGAAACACGGCAUGGAGGUCUGGAGGUUUGGUACGCCCUGAAGUCUCCCCUGAGGUUUCUCCCACGGAAUGAGGGUUGUGCCAGAGCCAGAUGGUCUCCUCCACAAUUACAAGAGCCUUAUUCUAUUCCAGUCUCUCCUCCUGCCUGGCCAUUGUGGAAAUUCUAACUACACGUAAGGCUGUUCACAAGCAGUGGUUCCAGAACAGACCCUGCACUUUCUGAGUAUUGACUGCCAGACUAAGUGAAGAGAAGGUCAGUUUCUCAGCAGGCCCGAGCCUGUCUCAAGUCUAGGCCUGCCCAUCUCUUCUGUGAGUAUCUUGAGUAUUCAUUGGUAUCACGAUGCCUUAACCUAUUACCUGAGGAUUUUGUGUGUGUGUAUUUUCUUGUAACCCUAUGGCCCUUCUUCCAUUUUGCUGCUAGACAAUGGGCCAUCUACUGGCUCAGAGGAAAAAAAAAAAAAAAGAAGUGUUUCUCUGACUUAAGUUCAAAUAUAUAAAGCCUACAGGGAACAAGGCAUUCUCAGGAGAAGUUAAUAGAUUUGAGAGGAUACGCAAUGACGCAGGAACAACAUUUCCCACUGCAAAGGAUCAUUUGACGGGUCAAGAGCAGUAAGCAUCCCUGACUAUCAGAGGGGAUAUAAAAAACAUGAGCUGCUGGUUUGUUUUGGAUGGGAGACAACAGCAAUCUCAGGGAAGUAGAGAUUGCUGCCCUUAGUUGCACAGAGAGCUUGAAGAAGCUUCAAGAUGUCAGAAUAGAAAUGGCUAUGGGGUGUGGCUACAGAGUUUGUCUAGAUGCAUGGGCCUGAGGCUGCCUCCAGAGCGUCCCCAGCCCAACUUGAUGUGCACCUAGGGAAUGAUUCCAGUAUGCUCAUGAAGAACACAGAAUUGCUGAAGGCCCUUGGAUAGCCCCUCAAACCCCACCCCAGGACCAGUGACAUGCAAGGGCCUUAGGAAGAACUUUGUCAGCAAGGAUAGUCACUGGACCAGAAGGAGCCCUUUGGAUCGUUGCAAGAUCCAUCCAAGCAGCAAUCUGAGUAGUUCAAUCUCUGCAGGCCAAUGGGACAACAGAUCUCAGUAGAUGACAACUUGGAUACCUGUCUACUUUUCCUAGCACCUUGGCCCCUUCAAACUUAGGCCAGACGCUAUGGAAGAGGAGAGGGGGAGGUCUUUCAAAUGCCUAGUAUUAUAUUUCUGCCACUCGGAUGAAUCUAAACCUGAUAUUAUUUGUAGACAUUCACUAUUUUCUAUGUUAAAAAAAAUACACCUUUAUAAAAUUAGAAAUGGACUUAUAUUUCUUGCCCACUUGAGUUUGUGGACAGAGAGUCACAUUCCACACCAUAUUGCUAUUUUUUCCUGCCUUCACGUCUGGUCUCCACAGCUAGGCUGUAAGAUAUUCAAGGCUCCACAGUAACCGUCUUUUUUUUCUACCAAGCACUUUGUAUAUAACAAGACAUAUUUUGAGAGAGACCCUAUGGAAUAGGAUGUGAAUAGUUGUUUACACAUUAUCAGCUGGAGUAUCAGUUCAAGGGUUUCUCAGCUCUGAUUUCAUUUAUAAGGUGUAUAGUUUUCCCCCAAGUAUUCAUUCUUCACAUCAAGAGAUAAAUAUUUGUCAAGCACCACCAUGGACAAGGCCUUGCUUCUACCUCUUCCUGGGGAUGGAGUCCUUGUCCUCAAGGAACUUGUUACUGGAGAUGAGGACAAGUUGUAGCUGAUUGCACUGAACAUGCAUUGAGUUUAGGACAACACGUAGGAGGUUAGUUGUCUGUUUUUAAAUACACGGAUAAUCUGAUUGCAAAAGUGAUAAAUGUUUAAUUGGGAACACUUGCAAAAUAUAGCAGUAAACAAAUUGUACCCAUAAACUCAGAACUUGUAAAAGUAAUCAGUGUUAACAAUUUGGUGUGUAUCAUUACAUAUGCUCUGUAAAAGUG